GUGUCAGCAGCCGCGGUAAGACGAACCGUGCGAACGUUGUUCGGAUUCACUGGGCUUAAAGGGCGCGUAGGCGGACCCAAAAGUCCGGGGUGAAAUCGUUCGGCUUAACCGGACAAUUGCCUUGGAUACUGUGGGUCUCGAGGGAGGUAGGGGCAUGCGGAACUUCCGGUGGAGCGGUGAAAUGCGUUGAUAUCGGAAGGAACUCCGGUGGCGAAAGCGGCGUGCUGGAUCUCUUCUGACGCUGAGGCGCGAAAGCCAGGGGAGCAAACGGGAUUAGAAACCCCCGUAGUCC
Molecule: ribosomal RNA, 292 nt
Filed under: uncultured bacterium
Lineage: Bacteria
Description: partial 16S ribosomal RNA
Rfam family: Bacterial small subunit ribosomal RNA
Source: RNAcentral